This 800-nucleotide long non-coding RNA is filed under the name Rattus norvegicus (Norway rat). Its description in RNAcentral is "long non-coding RNA NONRATT020330". The record is from RNAcentral. Lineage: Eukaryota; Metazoa; Chordata; Mammalia; Rodentia; Muridae.
GAAGUAAGGACCCACCCAGAAUGUGGGCUAAGCCUCCCCUCUCAUGACCCUCAACUGAAAUCACAGCUUUUGCCAUGGAAUGCAGAGAUGAAUCCUGGGGCAGCAGCGAGUGUGAGAGGAGAAGGGAAGCAGAAUAAGACAAGGUGUUCUGCCAGAGGGAGCUUGAGUAUCCACGGAAAGACGGAAUGCCUGCACAAGUGGCUUCGCAGAACAGUAAUGUGCUACAGGAUGAAGCCAUGCCUCAAGAAGGUUCUUGGAUGCUGUAAGAAGGGACCGACGGGACUGGAGAGAUGGCCCAUGGUUAAGAACACUGGCUGUUGUUCCAGGGGAUCCAGGUUGAAUUCCCAGCACCUACAUGGCAGCUCACAACUGUCUGUCACUCCAAUUCCAGAGGAUACGGCCACCCUCACACAGACAUACAUUACGAUGGUCACGUGAGGAUCCAGACACACAAGGAGAACACCAUGUGAAGAUGGAUACUGAAUUGAAGUGCUGCCGUUGUGAGCCUUGGAAUGCCCCUGGCUGAAAAGGAAAUGUCUGAGCUACUGAAGGGAGAUAAAGUUGCAUGCUGGUUAAAUGGCUUCUAGCUGUGAGUGCAAACAUGGAAAUGUACUGAGCCAUUGCAAUGAGGAAGCUGCUUCUCGAACCUAAGAAGGCUGCAGCAGAGCUGCGGGCAAGUUCCUGAAGCAGCUGAGGUCAUUCACCCUUCUCGCUGGCUCAGGCCCGGCCUUCAGCAAGAUUAAGAUUUGGAUUUGGAAAACCUGAGUGACACAUCAAGACAAAAACAAUGUGAUAAGAAA